Molecule: long non-coding RNA, 1387 nt
Organism: Cavia porcellus (domestic guinea pig)
Lineage: Eukaryota; Metazoa; Chordata; Mammalia; Rodentia; Caviidae
Exons: 3
Source: RefSeq, a predicted model, not a curated record
GAUGAGCAUUGAUGAACCAUUCUACUGUGUGAGAUUCCAUGCACAGAAAAUGCAGCAAGCAGAGUCACCCUGCAGGAAGACGUUCUCCUUGUCUAGGAGCAAUGAGAAUUUCCAAUUCUCUGGGUUGAGAGUGGUGAACCAGAAGGAACAGGAGGAGGAGGAGAAGAAAGAGGAGGAGGAAGAGAAAGAGGAGGAAGAGGAGGAAGAGGAAGAAGAGGAGGAGAAGGUCGGGGGCAUAGUACACAGAGCUUCCUUUAUGUAUGAUUUUUCAGUCGCUGGGAAGUCACUGAGGGCCCUUAAACAGAGGCAGGUAGCAAUUAAAGUUGCAAGUUAGAAAGCUUAUUUGGCCUGGCUUUCUAAGCCUAUUAGAGGAGAGGGGCUUGAGGUAGUAGCUUAGCUAUGAAGCCAAGAAUCCAGCUCAGCCAAACAGUGAAAAGCUUUGACCGCAUUAUUGGUAGAAAGAAAUGCAGAGAUGUGGAAAAACUCAAGAGGCUUUAUUAAAUAUAGGUCUCAGCAUCAAAGUAGAAGUCAGGGAUGUGAGAAGGAGAGAGAGACAGAGACAGAAAGAGAGAGAGAGAGAGAGAGAGAGAGAGAGAGAGAGAGAGAGAGAGAGUCAGUCAGUUCCGUGAUGGCAGACCAUAUCUCCACUAAGGAAGAGGCCUCAAGAAAACCUACUGAAAUGAAAAUGAAUCCUAAAGAAGGGACAGGGGCAGAGGUGAGAUAAAAACAGAAUAGUGUAGAAACUGAAGAAAAGUGCAUUUACAGAAGGGAAAGGCAGGGAGAGAGGGAAAGGAAGAAUACCAGGAGUAGGUGUGUGUUUCGGUAGAAAAGUUGAAACAGAGAAUGAGGCAGAAUUGGAAAGACACUGAAGAAAUGAGACACCGUAAGCUCACUGUCAAAGAUGUCACCCAAUCGACCUGGUUCUGACAUAAACUUCUAGAAAGUUCCGGAAGCACACCUCACCGCCGGUAUGCAGCCCAGAGCCAUGCCUGUUCCCAUGGCAACGGGGAGGGAGAGACAAAGAGGACCAGAGAGAGCCCUGAGAGAAGCAGAGAACCCAGUGACCUGUGGGAUCUCCCUCAGGUCAUUUGACAAACUCUCUCCUGAGUGUGGACAAAGCAAUUUCUUUAUGGGAAUGUGUACAGUGGUCCUCCCUCAUUUGUGGUUUCAGUGUAUUGAACUUGGCAGGCAACACCAUGCCUCAGUGGCCCCUGCACCCUCUCCACUGUCACCAAAAGGUCAACUGCGAUGGACACUGUGUCACAGGACCAGUGUCAUCAGAGUGCUUCUUCUCAUCAGGUGAGGAGAGGGUCAUCUCGUGUUAUCCCAAGAAAAAGAAAGGUGAAUGCAGAUAAUUAGACAAGAGAGAACAUCUAUGUAACUUUUA